AGUCUUGUGGUUGAAAAACAACGUUAAAUUGCAAAUUUAAAGGUAUAAGUUAUAUUAUUGAGGCAU
Molecule: transfer RNA, 66 nt
Filed under: Puncturella cf. parvinobilis
Lineage: Eukaryota; Metazoa; Mollusca; Gastropoda; Lepetellida; Fissurellidae
Description: tRNA-Cys
Source: RNAcentral